Molecule: ribosomal RNA, 301 nt
Filed under: uncultured bacterium
Lineage: Bacteria
Description: partial 16S ribosomal RNA
Rfam family: Bacterial small subunit ribosomal RNA
Source: RNAcentral
CAGUCGCCGCGGUAAUACAGAGGAUGCAAGCGUUAUCCGGAAUGAUUGGGCGUAAAGCGUCUGUAGGUGGCUUUUCAAGUCCGCCGUCAAAUCCCAGGGCUCAACCCUGGACAGGCGGUGGAAACUACCAAGCUGGAGUACGGUAGGGGCAGAGGGAAUUUCCGGUGGGGCGGUGAAAUGCGUUGAGAUCGGAAAGAACACCAACGACGAAAGCACUCUGCUGGGUCGACACUGACACUGAGAGACGAAAGCUAGGGGAGAAAAUGGGAUUAGAUACCCCCGUAGUCCCUGUCUCUUAUAC